GGGAUUGCCUCAGUAGCGGCGAGUGAAGCGGCAAAAGCUCAAAUUUGAAAUCUGGCGUCUUUGGCGUCCGAGUUGUAAUUUGAAGAAGGUAUCUUUGGGCCCGGCUCUUGUCUAUGUUCCUUGGAACAGGACGUCACAGAGGGUGAGAAUCCCGUGCGAUGAGAUGACCCGGGUCUGUGUAAAGUUCCUUCGACGAGUCGAGUUGUUUGGGAAUGCAGCUCUAAGUGGGUGGUAAAUUCCAUCUAAAGCUAAAUAUUGGCGAGAGACCGAUAGCGAACAAGUACAGUGAUGGAAAGAUGAAAAGAACUUUGAAAAGAGAGUGAAAAAGUACGUGAAAUUGUUGAAAGGGAAGGGCUUGAGAUCAGACUUGGUAUUUUGCAUGCUGCUCUCUCGGGGGCGGCCGCUGCGGUUUACCGGGCCAGCAUCGGUUUGGAGCGGCAGGAUAAUGGCGGAGGAAUGUGGCACGGCUUCUGCUGUGUGUUAUAGCCUCUGACGAUACUGCCAGCCUAGACCGAGGACUGCGGUUUUUAACCUAGGAUGUUGGCAUAAUGAUCUUAAGUCGCCCGUCUUGAAACACGGACCAAGGAGUCUAACGUCUAUGCGAGUGUUUGGGUGUAAAACCCGUACGCGUAAUGAAAGUGAACGAAGGUGGGGGCCCAUUAGGGUGCACCAUCGACCGAUCCUGAUGUGUUCGGAUGGAUUUGAGUAAGAGCAUAGCUGUUGGGACCCGAAAGAUGGUGAACUAUGCCUGAAUAGGGUGAAGCCAGAGGAAACUCUGGUGGAGGCUCGUAGCGGUUCUGACGUGCAAAUCGAUCGUCGAAUUUGGGUAUAGG
This 833-nucleotide ribosomal RNA is filed under the name Candida albicans. RNAcentral's name for it is "LSU rRNA". It matches the Rfam family "Eukaryotic large subunit ribosomal RNA", at positions 71 to 921 of the family's 3401-position model. Lineage: Eukaryota; Fungi; Ascomycota; Pichiomycetes; Serinales; Debaryomycetaceae. The record is from RNAcentral.